This is a long non-coding RNA of Lontra canadensis (Northern American river otter), 1421 nucleotides long. RefSeq lists it as uncharacterized. The transcript has 2 exons. Lineage: Eukaryota; Metazoa; Chordata; Mammalia; Carnivora; Mustelidae. The record is from RefSeq and is a predicted model, not a curated record.
GUUAUUUUUAUGUAACCCUUUCAGGAGAAUAUGAGAAAGGUGUAGACCAUCUGACAAACGCAAUUGCUGUGUGUGGACAGCCGCAGCAGUUGCUGCAAGUGUUACAGCAGACUCUCCCACCACCGGUGUUCCAGAUGCUUCUGACCAAGCUUCCAACAAUUAGUCAGAGAAUUGUAAGUGCUCAGAGCUUGGCUGAAGAUGAUGUGGAAUGAGAAAAUGUCAACAUAAUCUCAAUUAAAAAUAUUUUUAAAAUCUUAAGUUGGAAGAUGAGCAGCUCUGGGGGGAAAAGGGCAAAUAGGCUUGUUAUGGACUGUCCUACACUGAAAUCUACCAAAGUUAAUUUUUACUUUGUGUAGAUCCAUUUGUCUGUUUUAUUUAUUUUUCCCAGUGAAAAGUGUAUUUUGAUAGAAAGCUUUUCAUUUUAUAAAUACACUAUGAGUUACCAAAAUAUCAUGGAUUUAUUUUAUUCCGAAAACGUGCAAUUAAAGUGUACAUAUAACAUCACAUUACUUAUGUUAGAAAUACUCAGUGCUUAGUUUUGAAAGAUAAGCAGAAAAAGUAUAGGAGAAAGCUGAAGAAUGCACGUUUUUUUAAGCUAGUACAUUUGCUCUACAUUAAAGAAUUCGAUGGAAUCUUUAUCAAAACUGAGCAUUAAAAUCUUUGAGAGAUUACUUUUUUCCAUUUAAUCUCUUAAAUAUGAUGUGAGAAGUGCUGCUGUGCUGUAUUAAUUCACCUCCUCCCUGUGUAUUUGUCAUUUUAAUCGGUGGGCUUAAUGUGUUCUGGAUAUUUAUCGUAUUUUAGAUGUAUGUAGUAAAUAGCACCGGGAAUUAAAUCUAUGUACAUCCUUAAUCUAGCCAUGUGAGCCUCACUAAUUACUGUCUACCCUCUUUCCUCACUUAAAAAAUGAGGGAAUUGGUUUGCUAACUCAGAGAAGUGUCCCUUUCAGCUUUUAAUUAAUUUGUUUCUGUUACGCAUCUUUAAAACCACCUUCUCCUGAGGGAUAUAUUUGUUUGGACAACCAGGCCUUGCAUUUUUUAUACUCUGAAGUUUGCAUGCUUGCCUGACUUAGUAUUUCUGAAUUGAUUGUCCCACCCCCACCCCUUUUUUUAAAGAUCUAACUUGUGUUGGUUUUCACUGAAAUCAUGCAGUUCUGUCAUUACUCUUGUAAAUCUGAAACUUAACCUUUAGGGUAACUGGGAUAAACUUGUAAAAUGUUUGUUCCCCUUUGCUUUUAUCUUCAGUGUAUCUCCUCAGUCCUCUUUCAAUCUGAUUCAUUUAACUCGUUAUGAUGAGAAUAAGGUAUAACCUUGUGGCUGAAGACUUGGAGAGAAUGAAAGUGUUCUCAAAAUAGUGACAUGUUAUCUGCAGUCACAGGUUGAACAUUAGGUCUGAGAAUAAAGAUCCUUGGUACGUACUUGUCA